ACUAUUUUGGCAGAUUAGUGCAAUAAAUUUAGAAUUUAUUUAUGUAAUUUUAUUUUUACAAAUAGUA
RNAcentral lists this transfer RNA (67 nucleotides) under Liriomyza huidobrensis (pea leafminer). RNAcentral describes it as "tRNA-Leu". Lineage: Eukaryota; Metazoa; Arthropoda; Insecta; Diptera; Agromyzidae. The record is from RNAcentral.